RNAcentral lists this unclassified non-coding RNA (195 nucleotides) under Archaeorhizomyces sp. RNAcentral's name for it is "partial contains small subunit ribosomal RNA, internal transcribed spacer 1, and 5.8S ribosomal RNA". The stretch from base 1 to 46 matches the Rfam family "Eukaryotic small subunit ribosomal RNA", at positions 1786 to 1831 of the family's 1831-position model. The record is from RNAcentral. Lineage: Eukaryota; Fungi; Ascomycota; Archaeorhizomycetes; Archaeorhizomycetales; Archaeorhizomycetaceae.
AAGUCGUAACAAGGUCUCCGUAGGUGAACCUGCGGAGGGAUCAUUAAUGAAUGGCCUCUGUGCCUUCAACCUUACAAACCUGUGGAAGCUAUAUGUGCUUCGGCGCUCAGGCGUCGUUUUUAUGCUACAAGUCAGUCUUUGUGUCUGAAUCAAGCAAAAGAAAUAAAACUUUCAACAAAGGAUCUCUUGGCUCUC